RNAcentral lists this ribosomal RNA (486 nucleotides) under uncultured bacterium. RNAcentral's name for it is "partial 16S ribosomal RNA". It matches the Rfam family "Bacterial small subunit ribosomal RNA", at positions 30 to 507 of the family's 1533-position model. The record is from RNAcentral.
AUUGAACGCUGGCGGCAUGCCUUACACAUGCAAGUCGAACGGCAGCACGGGUGCUUGCACCUGGUGGCGAGUGGCGAACGGGUGAGUAAUACAUCGGAACAUGUCCUGUAGUGGGGGAUAGCCCGGCGAAAGCCGGAUUAAUACCGCAUACGAUCUACGGAUGAAAGCGGGGGACCUUCGGGCCUCGCGCUUUAGGGUUGGCCGAUGGCUGAGUAGCUAGUUGGUGGGGUAAAGGCCUACCAAGGCGACGAUCAGUAGCUGGUCUGAGAGGACGACCAGCCACACUGGGACUGAGACACGGCCCAGACUCCUACGGGAGGCAGCAGUGGGGAAUUUUGGACAAUGGGCGAAAGCCUGAUCCAGCAAUGCCGCGUGUGUGAAGAAGGCCUUCGGGUUGUAAAGCACUUUUGUCCGGAAAGAAAUCCUUGGCCCUAAUACGGUCGGGGGAUGACGGUACCGGAAGAAUAAGCACCGGCUAACUACGUG